This 235-nucleotide unclassified non-coding RNA is filed under the name plant metagenome. Its description in RNAcentral is "partial contains small subunit ribosomal RNA, internal transcribed spacer 1, and 5.8S ribosomal RNA". The stretch from base 1 to 54 matches the Rfam family "Eukaryotic small subunit ribosomal RNA", at positions 1778 to 1831 of the family's 1831-position model. The record is from RNAcentral.
GGAAAUAAAAGUCGUAACAAGGUUUCCGUAGGUGAACCUGCGGAAGGAUCAUUCAUAAUAAGUGUUUUAUGGCACUUUUUUAAAUCCAUAUCCACCUUGUGUGCAAUGUCAGGGUUGAUUUUUCCCUCGAGAGGAUCAGCCCCAAACAUCAACUAUAUCUCAACUCUUUGUCUGAAAAAUAUUAUGAAUAAAACAAUUCAAAAUACAACUUUCAACAACGGAUCUCUUGGCUCUC